Molecule: small nuclear RNA, 23 nt
Filed under: Arabidopsis thaliana (thale cress)
Lineage: Eukaryota; Viridiplantae; Streptophyta; Magnoliopsida; Brassicales; Brassicaceae
Description: snRNA_19106
Source: RNAcentral
AAGCCCAUGUAUAACCCAUUUUA